AGAGACUGAUGUUGGAUCAAUGAUGACUGUGGGUGCUGUAUGAGUCGUGUAUUAUGACUAUGCGUCUGAGAGUCUGAGGUUCACAUCGUAAUAUAUGUAGAGCAUCCUAUGAUCUUAGUGACAGAUGUUAGGAGUAGUCUACAUUUACAUGUAGAUAAAAUGGUGAUACAUUUGGAAAUCAUUUCUAAUAAGACAUAAUUCCAUAGCAAUAAUGUUAAGCACAUAGACUAAAUAGUGUUUCAUUCAGAUAUGAUAACUGGGGGUUCCCCAUGAGUGAUCUAAAAUUGUUAGCAAAGUUCUUGCUCACCUCAGAGCCAUGCCCAUUUGAUCUGUAAUGCAGAGAUAGUAAUAGAAUAAUGAAGACCUCAUGAGGGAUAUGGUGGAGAAUGACCCAGAGAAGCAGACGGAAUGCAGUUACCUAAACAGAAUCUUAACCUUUUUAUAAUUUUUCUGCUUUUUGCUCUCAGAAUGUAUGCCUGCAGGAUGAGUCCCACCUUCUUCAUUAGUCUUGAGGUUUGAGAUUCCCUGUUUGUGUCUGCAGGAUUCAGAUAGUGUGAGUAUAGUCUGUGUUCUUGUGUUGGAAUUCUUUUGCUUGCAUAAAAACAGGGUAGAAAAUAUUUCUGGGGCUGGUGAGAUGGCUCAGAGGUUGAGAGCACUGACUGUUCUCCCUGAUGUCCUGAGUUCAAUUCCCAGCAACCCCAUGGUGGCUCACAACCAUCUGUAAGGGCUCUGAUGCACUCUUCUGGUGUGUCUGAUGACAGCAGCAGUGUACUCCUGUUCCUAAAAUAAAUAAUUAUUUUAAAUACAUUAUUAUCUCUGAAGAGCAGAUGUAGCCAUAGGCAUAUAAGAUGUAUAUGAAGCACAAUGUUUAAUAAAAUUUUACCAAAUUAAGAUUGUGCAACAAUAGAGAUAGGCAUCAGUGCAGAAGAUCCCGUAGAGGUUUAACUGCACUCACGGAUCUUAUAGUUAGGGCUUGUCUCCAGUGGAGAUUUUCGCAAUGGUCCUAGUCAUCCAUUGCUCAAUAAUUUUACAUAGAUUAGUAGGGAAGAGGAGGACUGAUGUUGGAUCAAUGAUGAAUGUCUGUGAGCAUUCUUAGAGUCAUGAAUCAUGACGACAAAUUUAAUUCUGAGAUCAACAUCAUAAAGUAUCCAGUGACAGCUAUAAGAAGUAGUCUUCUUUUAUAAGUCAGUAAAUGUAAAUAAAAAUUGACUAGGAAGUCAUUUAAUCAAAAGGCAGCUCACAAAGAAGACUACAUAUAUGUAUAUAUGUAUAUAUGUAAGAAGAAAGUGUGACAGAGUAAUGACCAUGGAGGUGAGGGAUAAGAUGAAAUGAGCAGAAGCAGGCAGAAUACAUAGAUAAGCGAACGGAACAUCAAUCUCUUUAUAACCUCUUCUGUCUAUACUUCAAGAAUGGAUAUCCUGCAAGUCGGCUUCGUAGAGUCUCCCUUGAAAGUGGACCUCAUGAUCUAGCCUUUAUGUCCGUGGAUUGACACUGUGUGAGUAUCAUCAGCGUGUGUGCCAUUGUUUAUGGUACUUACAGAUGGCCCUAUAAGCUAGAAGAGAAAUCUUGAGAAAAUGAUAAACAUGGCUAUUGUGUGUAGUACAUUGUUAAUUUUCCCAAAUUUAACAACAAAUUAAUUUUGCCAAAUUUAGUGCAUAUAAAUAAAUACUCAGUUUGACAAAAGGUCCUUUAGAGAUCUAAGUCUCACUCAAGGAUCUUGCUGUUUGAGAUUUGUGAGUCAUAAUUAUCUGCAUAGUGUCUUUAAUUACUCAAAAAAAAAAACCACAUACAAAUUAAUAGAAAAGAGGAGGGUGCAUGUUGGAUCAAUGAUGACCAGCGGUAGCCGUAUGAUUCAUGGAUCAUGACUACAGAUCUGGGAGUCUGAGUUCCACAUCUCAAUAGGACAUCAUCCCCCAAGCACUGUUACCGUUAUGAGUGCUAGUCUAUUUAUAUAAUUAGUUUAAAACAUAGAUAUAAAUUUGUAGCAUAUACUCCACUUAAGAUGUUACUUCUUAGGAAAAGUUUUAAGGAUAUAUCCCAAGGCAUGACUGAGGAUACCGUAUGAACCAUAAUUAAAGACAAUGUUCAUGGUCAGAUGUAGAGCUGCCUUUUUUCUCAAGAAGCACACAUAUUAGUGUGAUCUACAUUUUGGAUAAUAGUCAAGGAGAAAGUAGCAAGACAAGCAGGUAGCAGUCAUGGAUGUGUGAACAGAUUAAAAAUCUUUUUUAUUAUCUCUUCUGCUUUACAUUCUCAGGAUGGAUUCCCCCCAAGUUCAUUUAGAUAUUCUCUCUUAUUCAUAAAUGUCACGGUCAGCUCUGUUCUUAUAGAUACCAGGUGAGUAUAGCCAACGUUCUUUUGUUGCUUCAUGUUGCUUUUUAAUGGCUGUGCAUAUACUGAGAAAAGAAAGUCCAGUUAUUAUCUGGGAAGAGCAUCCCGCUUAAAGUGUUAAAUGGCAGUUAGAUGAAACAGAAUGUUUAUGAGUAUUUCCAGAAGAGGAAUGUAUAACAGAAAAGAUUCUAAUCAUGGCAAAAGAUCCUGAGGACCUUCAGAGUACACGCAACGAUCUUGUCCUUAGAUUGUGUCAUUUAUUAUCAUCUUAGAGGCACUAGUGAGAUUAAUUGCUC
Molecule: long non-coding RNA, 2624 nt
Filed under: Mus musculus (house mouse)
Lineage: Eukaryota; Metazoa; Chordata; Mammalia; Rodentia; Muridae
Description: RNA imprinted and accumulated in nucleus
Rfam family: Small nucleolar RNA SNORD113/SNORD114 family (bases 1820-1892)
Source: RNAcentral